RNAcentral lists this ribosomal RNA (644 nucleotides) under uncultured Actinomycetes bacterium. Its description in RNAcentral is "bacterial SSU rRNA". It matches the Rfam family "Bacterial small subunit ribosomal RNA", at positions 232 to 873 of the family's 1533-position model. Lineage: Bacteria; Bacillati; Actinomycetota; Actinomycetes. The record is from RNAcentral.
CGCGGCCUAUCAGCUUGUUGGUGGGGUAACGGCCUACCAAGGCGAUUACGGGUAGCCGGCCUGAGAGGGCGACCGGCCACACUGGGACUGAGACACGGCCCAGACUCCUGCGGGAGGCAGCAGUGGGGAAUAUUGCGCAAUGGGCGAAAGCCUGACGCAGCGACGCCGCGUGGGGGAUGACGGCCUUCGGGUUGUAAACCUCUUUUACCACCAACGCAGGCUCCCAGUUCUCUGGGGGUUGACGGUAGGUGGGGAAUAAGGACCGGCUAACUACGUGCCAGCAGCCGCGGUAAUACGUAGGGUCCGAGCGUUGUCCGGAAUUAUUGGGCGUAAAGAGCUCGUAGGCGGCGUGUCGCGUCUGCUGUGAAAGACCGGGGCUUAACUCCGGUUCUGCAGUGGAUACGGGCAUGCUAGAGGUAGGUAGGGGAGACUGGAAUUCCUGGUGUAGCGGUGAAAUGCGCAGAUAUCAGGAGGAACACCGGUGGCGAAGGCGGGUCUCUGGGCCUUACCUGACGCUGAGGAGCGAAAGCAUGGGGAGCGAACAGGAUUAGAUACCCUGGUAGUCCAUGCCGUAAACGUUGGGCGCUAGGUGUGGGGACUUUCCACGGUUUCCGCGCCGCAGCUAACGCAUUAAGUUCCCCGCC